CACGUAGAUAAUCUACCCUAGAGUCUGGGAUAACAUUCCGAAAGGAGUGCUAAUACCGGAUAACAAUGAAGGCCUAGUGGCCUUUAUUUGAAAGAUUUAUUGCUUUAGGAUGAGUCUGCGCACCAUUAGCUAGUUGGUAGGGUAAUGGCCUACCAAGGCUUCGAUGGUUAGCGGGUCUGAGAGGAUGAUCCGCCACACCGGAACUGAGACACGGUCCAGACUCCUACGGGAGGCAGCAGUGGGGAAUUUUGCGCAAUGGACGAAAGUCUGACGCAGCAAUACCGCGUGAGUGAAGAAGGCCCUUGGGUCGUAAAGCUCUUUGUUUAGGGGAAUAUAAUGAAGGUACCCUAAGAAUAAGCACCGGCUAA
RNAcentral lists this ribosomal RNA (368 nucleotides) under uncultured delta proteobacterium. RNAcentral describes it as "bacterial SSU rRNA". It matches the Rfam family "Bacterial small subunit ribosomal RNA", at positions 114 to 500 of the family's 1533-position model. Lineage: Bacteria; Deltaproteobacteria. The record is from RNAcentral.